GACGAACGCUGGCGGCGUGCUUAACACAUGCAAGUCGAACGGAAAGGCCCUGCUUUUGUGGGGUGCUCGAGUGGCGAACGGGUGAGUAACACGUGAGUAACCUGCCCUUGACUUUGGGAUAACUUCAGGAAACUGGGGCUAAUACCGGAUAGGAGCUCCCGCUGCAUGGUGGGGGUUGGAAAGUUUCGGCGGUUGGGGAUGGACUCGCGGCUUAUCAGCUUGUUGGUGGGGUAGUGGCUUACCAAGGCUUUGACGGGUAGCCGGCCUGAGAGGGUGACCGGCCACAUUGGGACUGAGAUACGGCCCAGACUCCUACGGGAGGCAGCAGUGGGGAAUAUUGCACAAUGGGCGGAAGCCUGAUGCAGCAACGCCGCGUGCGGGAUGACGGCCUUCGGGUUGUAAACCGCUUUCGCCUGUGACGAAGCGUGAGUGACGGUAAUGGGUAAAGAAGCACCGGCUAACUACGUGCCAGCCGCCGCCGUAA
RNAcentral lists this ribosomal RNA (484 nucleotides) under uncultured bacterium. RNAcentral's name for it is "partial 16S ribosomal RNA". It matches the Rfam family "Bacterial small subunit ribosomal RNA", at positions 28 to 523 of the family's 1533-position model. The record is from RNAcentral.